UGAUUGCUCCUGUGAUUGAUUCUGAGCUGUGAAUUUGUUGUUGUUGCAACUGUUGUUGCUGCUGAGUUUUCGAAUUGUUCUUGCUUGUUGAAGAACAACUUUGAAUUUUUUUUUACUAACAACUUCUGAAUUUGUUAAUUGUAACAACUUUGAAUUCUUGUUACUAACAAGCUCUUUUUCUCUUUUUUUUUUGAAAUUGUUGAUUGUAACAACUUUUGAAUUUUGUUGUUGUAGGCUUUUUUUGAUGAAGGUGAUGCUACAACAUCUCUCUCUUUGGAUUGUGGGAGACUUGAAGAUGAAGAUCUUCAAGUGAGGACCUUUGAAGAAAGAAUGAAGAAAUUUGAACUUGAAGAAUGAAGACUUUGAAGAAUGAAGAAUUCAAGAAAGUCUUUGAAGUUUUUUUUCUUUUUUCUUGUAAUUCAUUCCAACUUGAAAAAUGUAUGAACUUUGUAUUCUUGAAAUGAUGCAAUUCUUGAACUUUAGAUAAAGUUCCUUUUGUAAUCCAUGUGUAACUUAGAACUUGUUUUAUGUAAAAGAAUUCCAUUUGGAAAUAUUCUUUUAGAAUCUUGAAUGAAAUUGUAUGGAACUUGAAUA
This is a long non-coding RNA of Vicia villosa (hairy vetch), 594 nucleotides long. RefSeq lists it as uncharacterized. Lineage: Eukaryota; Viridiplantae; Streptophyta; Magnoliopsida; Fabales; Fabaceae. The transcript is spliced from 2 exons. The record is from RefSeq and is a predicted model, not a curated record.